AGGCGAGAUGCCUGACCUUCCGUGGUAGGAUUUACGACAAUGCAAGUGAUAUCGAUGCUGGCUUUGCAACCACUCGAAGGCGCCAGUGUCCGGCUACUGGUGGGGAUGGCAAUCUUGCACCACUCGAUUUGGUGACGCCAAAUUCUUUUGAUAACAACUACUUCAAGAAUCUUAUUAAGAAAAAGGGUCUUCUUCAAUCAGAUCAGGUGCUUUUUAGCGGUGGAUCAACAGACAGCAUUGUUAAUGAGUAUAGCAGGAGCCCUUCAACUUUCAGUUCUGAUUUUGCUUCUGCCAUGGUAAAGAUGG
This 306-nucleotide unclassified non-coding RNA is filed under the name Hevea brasiliensis (rubber tree). The record is from RNAcentral. Lineage: Eukaryota; Viridiplantae; Streptophyta; Magnoliopsida; Malpighiales; Euphorbiaceae.